RNAcentral lists this ribosomal RNA (422 nucleotides) under uncultured bacterium. Its description in RNAcentral is "bacterial SSU rRNA". It matches the Rfam family "Bacterial small subunit ribosomal RNA", at positions 355 to 774 of the family's 1533-position model. The record is from RNAcentral.
UAAGGAAUAUUGGACAAUGGACGCGAGUCUGAUCCAGCCACGCCGCGUGAAGGAUGAAUGCCCUCUGGGUUGUAAACUUCUUUUAUAGGGGAAGAAAGAUACUUUUUUUAAGGUAGUUGACGGUACCCUAUGAAUAAGCACCGGCUAACUCCGUGCCAGCAGCCGCGGUAAUACGGAGGGUGCAAGCGUUAUCCGGAUUUACUGGGUUUAAAGGGUGCGUAGGCGGGCAUGUAAGUCAGUGGUGAAAUACCGGAGCUUAACUUCGGAACUGCCAUUGAUACUAUAUGUCUUGAAUAUUGUGGAGGUAAGCGGAAUAUGUCAUGUAGCGGUGAAAUGCAUAGAUAUGACAUAGAACACCGAUUGCGGAGGCAGCUUGCUACGCAAAUAUUGACGCUGAGGCACGAAAGCGUGGGGAUCAAACA